Small nuclear RNA from Cynocephalus volans (Philippine flying lemur), 191 nucleotides. RefSeq annotates it as U2 spliceosomal RNA. The transcript has a single exon. Lineage: Eukaryota; Metazoa; Chordata; Mammalia; Dermoptera; Cynocephalidae. The record is from RefSeq and is a predicted model, not a curated record.
AUUACGUCUUGGCCUUUUGGCUAAGAUCAAGUGUAGUAUCUGUUCUUAUCAGUUUAAUAUAUGAUAUGUCCUCUAUCUGAGCACAGUAUAUUAAAUGGAUUUUUGCAGCAGGGGCGUGGAACAGGAGCUUGCUUUGUCUACUCCAUUCAUCAGCCUGGUAUUGCAGUAAAUCCAGGCAUGAAAAUAAAAAG